This 253-nucleotide ribosomal RNA is filed under the name uncultured bacterium. Its description in RNAcentral is "partial 16S ribosomal RNA". It matches the Rfam family "Bacterial small subunit ribosomal RNA", at positions 524 to 776 of the family's 1533-position model. The record is from RNAcentral.
UACAGAGGUCUCAAGCGUUGUUCGGAUUCAUUGGGCGUAAAGGGUGCGUAGGCGGCGCGGUAAGUCGGGUGUGAAAUCUCGGAGCUUAACUCCGAAACUGCAUUCGAUACUGCCGUGCUUGAGGACUGGAGAGGAGACUGGAAUUUACGGUGUAGCAGUGAAAUGCGUAGAGAUCGUAAGGAAGGCCAGUGGCGAAGGCGAGUCUCUGGACAGUAACUGACGCUGAGGCACGAAGGCCAGGGGAGCAAACGGG